RNAcentral lists this ribosomal RNA (326 nucleotides) under uncultured eukaryote. RNAcentral describes it as "partial 18S ribosomal RNA". It matches the Rfam family "Eukaryotic small subunit ribosomal RNA", at positions 1470 to 1796 of the family's 1831-position model. The record is from RNAcentral.
CCCUUAGAUGUUCUGGGAUGCACGCGCGUUACACUGAUUCGUUCAACGAGUUUGUGACCUUGCCUGAUGAGGUGGGGGAAUCUUUUCAAAUCGCAUCGUGAUGGGGAUAGAGUAUUGUAACUGUUAGUCUUCAACGAGGAAUUCCUAGUAAGUACGUGUCAUCAGCUCGUACUGAUUAUGUCCCUGCCCUUUGUACACACCGCCCGUCGCUCCUACCGAUUGAGUGCUCAGGUGAAUAGUAUGGACUGCAUCAGUGUUCGGUCUCCGAAUGUUGACGCGAGAAAUUCUGUGAAUCUUAUUGCUUAGAGGAAGGAGAAGUCGUAACA